CUGUACCUAGACAGACACAGGACAGGUUGUUGACAUAAUGCUCUCUGUACCUAGACAGACACAGGACAGGUUGUUGACAUAAUGCUCUCUGUACCUGGACAGACAGACACAGGACAGGUUGUUGACAUAAUGCUCUCUGUACCUGGACAGACAGACAGACACAGGACAGGUUGUUGACAUAAUGUUCUCUGUACCUGGACAGACAGACAGACACAGGACAGGUUGUUGGUAGAGAGAUGAUUCUGAAAGUAACGCAUGUGUUGUCGAAGUAACUGUAAUAAUAGAACCCAAUUUGAAAAAGUAAUGUGUUACUUUACUCUGUUACUCAUAAAAGUAAUCUGAUUACGUAACGUGUUACUUUUGUAACACUGGUUAGGAAUCUCCCUCCCUCCCAGAUAGAAUACGUAGGUCCUCCACUUCCUCCUCUUGAGGAAGAGCAGACGGACCAGACCGACGGACAGUAUCAACCUGGCCUGUGGAGCAGGGUCUUCACUGUUAAAUGAUGAUCGGUGGUUAGGGAGAAAUGUCUCCUCCCUCUAUGGUGAAUCUCUUUCUGGGUCUUUGGCCUUGUGACAGUAAGACUGUAUCCUUUUGACUGUUAAACACUCUGUCUACAUAUUGAUAAUGUCUGGUUGGCUGGGC
Molecule: long non-coding RNA, 642 nt
Organism: Oncorhynchus tshawytscha (Chinook salmon)
Lineage: Eukaryota; Metazoa; Chordata; Actinopteri; Salmoniformes; Salmonidae
Source: Ensembl